AUUGAACGCUGGCGGCAUGCUUUACACAUGCAAGUCGAACGGUAACAGGCCGCAAGGUGCUGACGAGUGGCGAACGGGUGCGUAAUGCAUCGGAACGUGCCCAGUCGUGGGGGAUAACUACUCGAAAGAGUAGCUAAUACCGCAUACGAUCUGUGGAUGAAAGCGGGGGACCGUAAGGCCUCGCGCGAUUGGAGCGGCCGAUGUUAGAUUAGGUAGUUGGUGGGGUAAAGGCUCACCAAGCCAACGAUCUGUAGCUGGUCUGAGAGGACGACCAGCCACACUGGGACUGAGACACGGCCCAGACUCCUACGGGAGGCAGCAGUGGGGAAUUUUGGACAAUGGGCGCAAGCCUGAUCCAGCAAUGCCGCGUGCAGGAAGAAGGCCUUCGGGUUGUAAACUGCUUUUGUACGGAACGAAACGGCUCUGGUUAAUACCCGGGGCUAAUGACGGUACCGUAAGAAUAAGCACCGGCUAACUACGUG
Molecule: ribosomal RNA, 482 nt
Filed under: uncultured bacterium
Lineage: Bacteria
Description: partial 16S ribosomal RNA
Rfam family: Bacterial small subunit ribosomal RNA
Source: RNAcentral